RNAcentral lists this ribosomal RNA (423 nucleotides) under Triticum aestivum (bread wheat). RNAcentral's name for it is "partial small subunit ribosomal RNA". The record is from RNAcentral. Lineage: Eukaryota; Viridiplantae; Streptophyta; Magnoliopsida; Poales; Poaceae.
AUGACAACAAGGAGGCGGCUGCUCGUGUCCGCCGGUGGCCUGCUCCUCGUCGCCGUCGCGAGCAACAACGCCAGCAGGAGAGCGGCGGCGGCCGCGGUCGACAGCUACGACCCGGUGACAGAGGCGGAGCGCGCGGUGAGCGAGGCGGUGUCGCAGCGCGUCGGGGAGGCGGUCCGGCUGCUGGAGGCCGGGCGGGAGCUACAGGCGCGCGGCGAGUUCGUGGGGGCGCUGGCGUCCUUCACGGCGGUGGUGAGCGGGUACAAGGAGCUGGCGCUGUCGGAGUACGAGCGGGUGGGGCGGGCGUUGGUGCUGUACGAGAUCGGCGACCGCGACAAGUCCAUCACGGAGAUGGAGGACGUGUCGAUGGAUUUGUGGGCGGCAGAGGAGCUGCGGUGGUGGGGAGCUACGCCGGCAGUGGUCUAA